AGAUACAUCCUACUCCAAAACCAUCCCAUUAUGGAUCGAAAAAUAUGAGCCAUCACCUAGCCCCCAAAUAACUCUCUUGUUAGAAUCACCACCUGCUUUAGAACUAAUGACACUUUCUGAUGCACCCACUGACACCCCAUCAGUGAGCCCUAACCAGAAAGAUCAACUUGUAGGUAUUCUAAAAACUCAUAAAGAAGCUAUCGGGUGGGAUA
RNAcentral lists this long non-coding RNA (212 nucleotides) under Elaeis guineensis (African oil palm). RNAcentral describes it as "long non-coding RNA (EGUI_LNC009126)". The record is from RNAcentral. Lineage: Eukaryota; Viridiplantae; Streptophyta; Magnoliopsida; Arecales; Arecaceae.